GUGAGGAAUAUUGGACAAUGGGCGCAAGCCUGAUCCAGCCAUGCCGCGUGCAGGAAGACGCAUCUAUGGUGUGUAAACUGCUUUUGUACGGGAAGAAACACUCCCUCGUGAGGGAGCUUGACGGUACCGUAAGAAUAAGGAUCGGCUAACUCCGUGCCAGCAGCCGCGGUAAUACGGAGGAUCCAAGCGUUAUCCGGAAUCAUUGGGUUUAAAGGGACCGUAGGCGGUUUAAUAAGUCAGUGGUGAAAGCCCAUCGCUCAACGAUGGAACGGCCAUUGAUACUGUUAGACUUGAAUUACAAGGAAGUAACUAGAAUAUGUAGUGUAGCGGUGAAAUGCUUAGAUAUUACAUGGAAUACCAAUUGCGAAGGCAGGUUACUACUUGUGGAUUGACGCUGAUGGACGAAAGCGUGGGGAGCGAACAGGAUUAGAUACCCGGGUAGUCC
Molecule: ribosomal RNA, 445 nt
Filed under: uncultured bacterium
Lineage: Bacteria
Description: partial 16S ribosomal RNA
Rfam family: Bacterial small subunit ribosomal RNA
Source: RNAcentral